AUAAAGUGGCGAACGGCUGAGUACACGUGGGCAACCUGCCCUUUGCACUGGGAUAGCCUCGGGAAACCGAGGUUAAUACCGGAUACUCCAUAUUUGUCGCAUGGCGAAUAUGGGAAAGCUCCGGCGGCAAAGGAUGGGCCCGCGGCCUGUUAGCUAGUUGGUGGGGUAGUGGCCUACCAAGGCAAUGAUGGGUAGCCGGGUUGAGAGACCGACCGGCCAGAUUGGGACUGAGACACGGCCCAGACUCCUACGGGAGGCAGCAGAA
RNAcentral lists this ribosomal RNA (265 nucleotides) under uncultured Atopobium sp. Its description in RNAcentral is "partial 16S ribosomal RNA". It matches the Rfam family "Bacterial small subunit ribosomal RNA", at positions 90 to 354 of the family's 1533-position model. Lineage: Bacteria; Bacillati; Actinomycetota; Coriobacteriia; Coriobacteriales; Atopobiaceae. The record is from RNAcentral.